This 1519-nucleotide ribosomal RNA is filed under the name Curtobacterium flaccumfaciens. Its description in RNAcentral is "bacterial SSU rRNA". It matches the Rfam family "Bacterial small subunit ribosomal RNA". Lineage: Bacteria; Bacillati; Actinomycetota; Actinomycetes; Micrococcales; Microbacteriaceae. The record is from RNAcentral.
CCGAGUCGUAGUGAACGCAUCCAGCUAGUCCCCCUGGGGAGUGGGGUUUUCCGCUUAACCUGCAGUUCUCACGUAUGUAGGAGUGCGCCGUAUGCUGCAGCGGCGGAGCAUUGUCGAAAGGACCCUUUAACACGUGAGUAACCUGCCCCUGACUCUGGGAUAAGCGUUGGAAACGACGUCUAAUACUGGAUAUGAUCACUGGCCGCAUGGUCUGGUGGUGGAAAGAUUUUUUGGUUGGGGAUGGACUCGCGGCCUAUCAGCUUGUUGGUGAGGUAAUGGCUCACCAAGGCGACGACGGGUAGCCGGCCUGAGAGGGUGACCGGCCACACUGGGACUGAGACACGGCCCAGACUCCUACGGGAGGCAGCAGUGGGGAAUAUUGCACAAUGGGCGAAAGCCUGAUGCAGCAACGCCGCGUGAGGGAUGACGGCCUUCGGGUUGUAAACCUCUUUUAGUAGGGAAGAAGCGAAAGUGACGGUACCUGCAGAAAAAGCACCGGCUAACUACGUGCCAGCAGCCGCGGUAAUACGUAGGGUGCAAGCGUUGUCCGGAAUUAUUGGGCGUAAAGAGCUCGUAGGCGGUUUGUCGCGUCUGCUGUGAAAUCCCGAGGCUCAACCUCGGGCUUGCAGUGGGUACGGGCAGACUAGAGUGCGGUAGGGGAGAUUGGAAUUCCUGGUGUAGCGGUGGAAUGCGCAGAUAUCAGGAGGAACACCGAUGGCGAAGGAGAUCUCUGGGCCGUAACUGACGCUGAGGAGCGAAAGCAUGGGGAGCGAACAGGAUUAGAUACCCUGGUAGUCCAUGCCGUAAACGUUGGGCGCUAGAUGUAGGGACCUUUCCACGGUUUCUGUGUCGUAGCUAACGCAUUAAGCGCCCCGCCUGGGGAGUACGGCCGCAAGGCUAAAACUCAAAGGAAUUGACGGGGGCCCGCACAAGCGGCGGAGCAUGCGGAUUAAUUCGAUGCAACGCGAAGAACCUUACCAAGGCUUGACAUACACCGGAAACGGCCAGAGAUGGUCGCCCCCUUGUGGUCGGUGUACAGGUGGUGCAUGGUUGUCGUCAGCUCGUGUCGUGAGAUGUUGGGUUAAGUCCCGCAACGAGCGCAACCCUCGUUCUAUGUUGCCAGCGGGUUAUGCCGGGGACUCAUAGGAGACUGCCGGGGUCAACUCGGAGGAAGGUGGGGAUGACGUCAAAUCAUCAUGCCCCUUAUGUCUUGGGCUUCACGCAUGCUACAAUGGCCGGUACAAAGGGCUGCGAUACCGUAAGGUGGAGCGAAUCCCAAAAAGCCGGUCUCAGUUCGGAUUGAGGUCUGCAACUCGACCUCAUGAAGUCGGAGUCGCUAGUAAUCGCAGAUCAGCAACGCUGCGGUGAAUACGUUCCCGGGCCUUGUACACACCGCCCGUCAAGUCAUGAAAGUCGGUAACACCCGAAGCCGGUGGCCUAACCCUUGUGGAAGGAGCCGUCGAAGGUGGGAUCGGUGAUUAGGACUAAGUCGUAACAAGGUAGCCGUACCGGAAGGUGC